AUGUGCUGGAACGUCCGAGGGCUCAACUCGCCGGCCCGACAAGCCGUAGUGUGCGAGACGGCAGAAACACACAAGCUGGCCCUUCUCUGCCUGCAAGAGACUAAGAUCGACAAGUGGAGUAGAUCGUUAGUUAGAGAGGUUGGCGGGUGCAGGCUCGCCGAUUGCGUCGUCCUCCCGACGAUUGGCACUCGUGGUGGCGUCGCGAUCUUCUGGGACAAGAGCCGGGUAGACAUGUAAUCCAGCGCCAUUGGCCGUUUCUCCAUCACGGCCAAAAUCACCCUA
This 282-nucleotide ribosomal RNA is filed under the name Triticum aestivum (bread wheat). RNAcentral's name for it is "partial small subunit ribosomal RNA". Lineage: Eukaryota; Viridiplantae; Streptophyta; Magnoliopsida; Poales; Poaceae. The record is from RNAcentral.